Molecule: long non-coding RNA, 538 nt
Organism: Lathyrus oleraceus (garden pea)
Lineage: Eukaryota; Viridiplantae; Streptophyta; Magnoliopsida; Fabales; Fabaceae
Exons: 2
Source: RefSeq, a predicted model, not a curated record
GUUUUCUAUGCAUAACACUUAGAACAAAAGAUAAUAAUAGAAUACAAAGAUAAAAUCUUCAGAAAAAAUAACAAUGCACAUUAGCAAACUUUUUCUCUUGGGACUUUUAUGCAUUACAUUGGUCCUAUCUUUUGGAGCAACUGGUAACGAUAUAGCCGAAACAUGCAUUGGUGGGCUAUGUUUUGAUUGCGUCCUAAGAUGUUUUGGUCAGGAUUUCCGAUAGGUAGAUGUAAUUAUAAUUCCGUGUGUUGUUGUAGUAACUAGUGAUCAUUUUUAAAAUACAUUACAUUAUUAUAAAUACUUAAUAAUAUUGAAUAAAAUAAAUAAAUCUUCCUCCAAAAUUUUAUUUUUACGUUUGAAGCAUACACAUUUGAUGUUUGGUUUGAGCAGAAGUAAAAGUGGAAGACUUGAAAGAAGAAUGACUUCUUCAACUUAAAGAUAGGAUGAAUAUUGGGGUGAAAAUUGUUUCCAUUUAAAUCUUAUAUAUUAUGGGUGUAACUAUAGUUUAUAUUCAAUGAAAUACUACUAUUUUAUUUUA